Molecule: long non-coding RNA, 546 nt
Organism: Chinchilla lanigera (long-tailed chinchilla)
Lineage: Eukaryota; Metazoa; Chordata; Mammalia; Rodentia; Chinchillidae
Exons: 3
Source: RefSeq, a predicted model, not a curated record
ACCUGGGAGACCCAUGGAACACCUGAACCUUAAACAAAGGAAAGACAAGGGGACAUAAAGGGGGCCAGUCUUUCAGAGUCUCUACUGUGUCUGCAGAAGGUCUGCCAUUUUCACUACUUGAAAUAUGCCAGUGAAAUAUAUUUGGAAUGAGAUAUUUUACUCUCUCACCCUGUGAAGCAGGAAGCAGGUCCUCUGGAGCACUGAUUUCCCAGCAACUUUGAACACCUCCUAAUAUUUUACAGAACAUGUUUUCCUCUUCAAAGAACCCAUAAGUCUCACCUAUGGAUGACACUGAGCUAGACAGAACUAAAAUCUCAAGCCAACAGAAGCUUAAAUUUAGGGCUUGGAGACACAAAGACCAAAAUCAAGAUCAAGAGGUACUGACCAUGAAAUGACAAUACAGGAUGAAAAGAAUAAACUUAGGAAUGAAAACACUGCAUGCAACAAGACUCACCAAUACCCCCCAAAGAUCUGAAAAACCUUUCUCACUAGCCAGCUGGAGACAGAUGUGAGCAGUCUUCCUGUCUCCCUCUCAGUCAACCUUCA